AGUGAACGCUGGCGGUAGGCCUAACACAUGCAAGUCGAACGGCAGCACAGUAAGAGCUUGCUCUUACGGGUGGCGAGUGGCGGACGGGUGAGGAAUACAUCGGAAUCUACUUUUUCGUGGGGGAUAACGUAGGGAAACUUACGCUAAUACCGCAUACGACCUACGGGUGAAAGCAGGGGAUCUUCUGACCUUGCGCGAUUGAAUGAGCCGAUGUCGGAUUAGCUAGGUGGCGGGGUAAAGGCCCACCAAGGCGACGAUCCGUAGCUGGUCUGAGAGGAUGAUCAGCCACACUGGAACUGAGACACGGUCCAGACUCCUACGGGAGGCAGCAGUGGGGAAUAUUGGACAAUGGGCGCAAGCCUGAUCCAGCCAUACCGCGUGGGUGAAGAAGGCCUUCGGGUUGUAAAGCCCUUUUGUUGGGAAAGAAAAGCAGCAGGUUAAUACCCCGCUGUUCUGACGGUACCCAAAGAAUAAGCACCGGCUAACUUCGUG
Molecule: ribosomal RNA, 492 nt
Filed under: uncultured bacterium
Lineage: Bacteria
Description: partial 16S ribosomal RNA
Rfam family: Bacterial small subunit ribosomal RNA
Source: RNAcentral